UGGGGAAUUUUGCGCAAUGGGCGAAAGCCUGACGCAGCAACGCCGCGUGUGUGAUGAAGGUCUUCGGAUUGUAAAGCACUUUCGACCGGGACGAAAACCCUCUGGCUAACAUCCAGGGGCUUGACGGUACCGGGAGAAGAAGCACCGGCUAACUCUGUGCCAGCAGCCGCGGUAAUACAGAGGGUGCAAGCGUUGUUCGGAAUUAUUGGGCGUAAAGCGCGUGUAGGCGGCUUUGCAAGUCGGGUGUGAAAGCCCUCAGCUCAACUGAGGAAGUGCGCCCGAAACUGCAGAGCUUGAGUACCGGAGAGGGUGGCGGAAUUCCCCAAGUAGAGGUGAAAUUCGUAGAUAUGGGGAGGAACACCGGUGGCGAAGGCGGCCACCUGGACGGUCACUGACGCUGAGACGUGAAAGCGUGGGGAGCAAACAGG
This 428-nucleotide ribosomal RNA is filed under the name Bacillota bacterium. RNAcentral's name for it is "Firmicutes bacterium partial 16S ribosomal RNA". It matches the Rfam family "Bacterial small subunit ribosomal RNA", at positions 355 to 776 of the family's 1533-position model. Lineage: Bacteria; Bacillati; Bacillota. The record is from RNAcentral.